AACGGCCAUACCAUGCUGAAUAUACCCAAUGCUGCUUGACGUUAGAUCACCGAAGUUAAGCAUCAUUGGGCGCGGUCAGUACUUGGGUGGGUGACCACCUGGGAACACCGCGUGCCGUU
Molecule: non-coding RNA, 119 nt
Organism: Caerostris darwini
Lineage: Eukaryota; Metazoa; Arthropoda; Arachnida; Araneae; Araneidae
Source: the annotation of a GenBank genome assembly